GACGAACGCUGGCGGCGUGCUUAACACAUGCAAGUCGAACGGAAAGGCCCUGCUUUUGUGGGGUGCUCGAGUGGCGAACGGGUGAGUAACACGUGAGUAACCUGCCCUUGACUUUGGGAUAACUUCAGGAAACUGGGGCUAAUACCGGAUAGGAGCUCCUGCUGCAUGGUGGGGGUUGGAAAGCUUCGGCGGUUGGGGAUGGACUCGCGGCUUAUCAGCUUGUUGGUGGGGGAGUGGCUGACCAAGGCUUUGAUGGAUAGCCCGCCUGAGAGGGUGGCCAGGCACAUGGGGCCUGAGGGAGGGAGCAGUCUGGUAUGGGGGACAGCAGGGGAGAAUAUUACACAGUAGGGGGAAGCCUGAGGCAGCGGCGCCGCGGGCGGGAUGACGGCCUUCGGGUUGUGAACCGCUUUCGCCUGUGACGAAGCGUGGGUGACGGUAAUGGGUGAAGAAGCACCGGCUAACUACGUG
RNAcentral lists this ribosomal RNA (468 nucleotides) under uncultured bacterium. Its description in RNAcentral is "partial 16S ribosomal RNA". It matches the Rfam family "Bacterial small subunit ribosomal RNA", at positions 28 to 507 of the family's 1533-position model. The record is from RNAcentral.